This is a long non-coding RNA of Felis catus (domestic cat), 2334 nucleotides long. RefSeq lists it as uncharacterized. The transcript has 4 exons. The record is from RefSeq and is a predicted model, not a curated record. Lineage: Eukaryota; Metazoa; Chordata; Mammalia; Carnivora; Felidae.
CCCCGCCCGGGGGAGGGACGACCGGGCGGGCUCCCGACGAGCUCCAUCCCGCUCGCGCCCCCGCCCCACCUCCGCGCUGCACGGGGUCGGCCCACGCGGCGCCGGCGCCCUAGCGCGUCCGGCUCGCGCUUCCUCGCCCUCGGGGCGCCCGAGCCGUUCCGUGCUGGAUCCGGAGCCCGAAUACUCUGGCCUUGGGGAAUGGACCCAUUAAGCCUUCCCGGAAACCUAAAGGUCGCUCGAGGCAGUAAGGCGGAGCUGAGGGGCCGCAUCAUUAAGCCCAGGGCUUAGGGUGGGUGGGCUCGUGCAGACACACACACACACAAAUGUUCCCAAAGGCUCUACCCGGAGGCAUCCUUAGCUGACCAUUCACUGCGUUUUCGAUGGCAACUUGUUGCUUGGAUUCUAGUCAGGACCAAGUUCUUGUAUUUGAGGGGAAUUUGGAACCACGCUCUUUCCCACCCACUCAGAAGCUACUACCACGGUUCUACAAAUAAGACAUCUGCUCGUUCAAAGAAAACUAUCCAUUCUGGGCUUCAUGGAGUCAGUGAGUGUUUCCUGCUUAGCCCAGCAUGUACUGUGGGCUUAACUAAGGGGGAUGACAGAGGUCAGUCUUAUGCACCAACACUGUUUUGCCAGGCCCUCUACAAAACUGCAAAUGAGCUGCCCCCCUCCUCUCUGCAGGCUUUUAAGAUAACUCAGCGAUUUUCCAUGGUUUUGAGAUUGUGAUGCCCUUUAAUAUUGUUUUUCGCGCUAUGAAAUCUAAACCCACUGGGAUGCGACCCACAGAUGAUAAAGCAAAUGCAAAUAUAUCUGCCUUAUCGCUGAAAAUCCCGACUCUGCUACUCAGAACACUGAGAGUCUAUUGUGGAACCUGGACUCUAGGAGCUAUAUUGAAAAUCAUCACUGGUUCUACAGAAUUCUAUUAUCUGGAAAAAUCCACACUCAGAUACUAGUCAUUUGAGAAAGCACAAUCUCUUAUGUCCCUACGGAGACCUAGCUAACAUUUUGGGGAUAUGAUAUUAACUAUCUCCAAAAGGGCCCAUGGACUAUCCUGUUUUGAGAUUCUUCUGAUGGCUGAAGAAAGGGAACAGGUGGAAAUUAUGCUGAAAGAAGUACUUUCACAAAAUGAUGCCCAAGCAUCUUGCCCAAUUCAACUCAAAAUUUUAUUCAUUAUCUACAAGGUACCAGGCACGAAGCAAGCUGCUGAUGAUAUGGAGACCAAUAAAGCUUCAACUUCCCCUUAAGAAACUCACAGUGUAGUGGGGAAGAUGCAAAAUAACUUUUAGACAAUCGAUAGUAGCAUACCAAUAGUACUGCAGAAACAGUGAUGAGAGAGCUGUUAAUUAGGGCCAGAAGCUCCUGAAAAAAGAGGUGACAGGUCAUUACAAGGAAGCCGUAUGGAAGUGCCAUUAACUCCAGUAACAGCAACAUUUCGGGAAUGAUUGAAGACCGGGGAGCCAGCAGGAAAGGACAGAAAAGAGCAGACAGAGAGGAGACAGAGAGGGAGACGGAGAAUCCAAAGCAGGCCCCUGGCUGUGAGCUGUCAGCACAGAGCCCGACGUGGGGCUCCAACUCAUGAACCAUGAGAUUGUGACCUGAGCCAAAUUCGGAUGCUUAACCGACUGAGCCACCCAGGCACCGCUGUAUGUUUCUCAUUUAUAUGCUUCUACUAAGUCCCAGCCAUGGCGCCUUGCACUCAACAUGUAUCAUCCUCCAAACAACCCAGAAAGAACCUGAUGUGGGGCUUGAUCCCGUGACUGAAUGGAAAUCAAGAGUCGGUCGCUCAACUGACUGAGCCACCCAGGGGUCCCAGAGAGUGUACUUCUAACCUGGGUUAGAAAGAGAUCAGCAGCAAUCAUAACACCCUGGAAAUGAAAACCCAGCCCAUCAUUUUCUGAAUACCAGGUAAACUCAGAGCUAUUUUGUUCAUCAGGCACUGCAGGCACAGUGCCUGCACUUGCAAGCUUCCCAAAAGCCUAUGAAAAUAUUUGAGACCUGGAAAAUACAUAUUGGUUCCAAAAUAUGAAAAUAAAGUGGCAGAUUGGUCAAAAUUAAUAAAUGUUUAAAUAUCUAUAAAAUGUAGCUUUAUGUCAACUGUAACCCAACAGCCAAAUUUAAACCUUAAGAACCACAUUAAUAACUUAUAUAUAAUAAAACUCAAAAUGUAUGCAAGUUACAAACAUCCUUUCAAAAUUUUUACAGCAAAAAAGUAUACUCUGUGUGAUUCAUUUUAAUAAGUUUGAUAUGACAUGGGAUGAAACUUUUUUUUUUAAUUUUUUUUUAACGUUUAUUUAUUUUUGAGACAGAGAGAGACAGAGCAUGAACAGGGGAGGG